CUCUAUGGUUGCACAUAAGAUUCCUGUAUGACUGCCACCAGGGCCAGAUUAAGAGCCCAGUGGGCCUGGUACUGACAAUUAUGAUGGGCCUAAUCACAAAAUCAUAUCGACCAAAAACACAAACAGUCCUACCACCCAAGCUUCAUGUAUCUGAUGGAGAUGGUGCUGGAGGGAAACUCAUAGGAUGCAGCUAUAACAAAACACAUACCCUAUGCUAAUCUCACGCUUUCAUCUUAAAAGUAAA
This is a non-coding RNA of Pelobates cultripes (western spadefoot toad), 244 nucleotides long. The record is from the annotation of a GenBank genome assembly. NCBI's taxonomy places the organism in Eukaryota, Metazoa, Chordata, Amphibia, Anura, Pelobatidae.